GCAUUGGUAAUCAUGGCGUUUAUUGUGCCUUUUAAGCAGGGUGUCCGGGGUUCGAAUCCCCGACGAGGCA
RNAcentral lists this transfer RNA (70 nucleotides) under Bacteriophage sp. RNAcentral describes it as "tRNA-Ser". The record is from RNAcentral.